GUCCGAACGGCAGCRCGGGGCAACCUGGYGGCGAGUGGCGAACGGGUGAGUAAUAUAUCGGAACGUACCCWRGAGUGGGGGAUAACGUAGCGAAAGUUACGCUAAUACCGCAUACGAUCUAAGGAUGAAAGUGGGGGAUUCGCAAGAACCUCAUGCUCCUGGAGCGGCCGAUAUCUGAUUAGCUAGUUGGUAGGGUAAARGCCUACCAAGGCUWCGAUCAGUAGCUGGUCUGAGAGGACGACCAGCCACACUGGAACUGAGACACGGUCCAGACUCCUACGGGAGGCAGCAGUGGGGAAUUUUGGACAAUGGGCGCAAGCCUGAUCCAGCAAUGCCGCGUGAGUGAAGAAGGCCUUCGGGUUGUAAAGCUCUUUUGUCAGGGAAGAAACGGUKCCAGCUAAUAUCUSKKGCUAAUGACGGUACCUGAAGAAUAAGCACCGGCUAACUACGUGCCAGCAGCCGCGGUAAUACGUAGGGA
Molecule: ribosomal RNA, 478 nt
Filed under: uncultured bacterium
Lineage: Bacteria
Description: partial 16S ribosomal RNA
Rfam family: Bacterial small subunit ribosomal RNA
Source: RNAcentral